This 389-nucleotide ribosomal RNA is filed under the name uncultured bacterium. RNAcentral's name for it is "bacterial SSU rRNA". It matches the Rfam family "Bacterial small subunit ribosomal RNA", at positions 28 to 417 of the family's 1533-position model. The record is from RNAcentral.
GACGAACGCUGGCGGCGUGCUUAACACAUGCAAGUCGAGCGGUAAGGCCCUUUCGGGGGUACGACGAGCGGCGAACGGGUGAGUAACACGUGGGUGACCUGCCCUCAGCUCUGGGAUAAGCCUGGGAAACCGGGUCUAAUACUGGAUAUGACUCCAUGACGCAUGUUGUGGGGUGGAAAGCCUUGUGCGGCUGAGGAUGGGCCCGCGGCCUAUCAGCUUGUUGGUGGGGUGAGGCCUACCAAGGCGACGACGGGUAGCCGGCCUGAGAGGGCGACCGGCCACACUGGGACUGAGACACGGCCCACGACUCCUACGGGAGGCAGCAGUGGGGAAUCUUGCGCAAUGGGCGAAAGCCUGACGCAGCGACGCCGCGUGAGGGAUGACGGCCU